Molecule: microRNA precursor, 80 nt
Filed under: Petromyzon marinus (sea lamprey)
Lineage: Eukaryota; Metazoa; Chordata; Hyperoartia; Petromyzontiformes; Petromyzontidae
Description: miRNA (ENSPMAG00000011275.1)
Source: RNAcentral
GCAGCGCAGGCCCGAGGCCUCGCCGGCGUAGGCGGCCUGCCUGGUACCAGUCCUGCGUGCGGUGAGGUGGCCGGGGCACG